Molecule: ribosomal RNA, 450 nt
Filed under: uncultured bacterium
Lineage: Bacteria
Description: partial 16S ribosomal RNA
Rfam family: Bacterial small subunit ribosomal RNA
Source: RNAcentral
GUGGGGAAUUUUGGACAAUGGGCGAAAGCCUGAUCCAGCCAUGCCGCGUGCAGGAUGAAGGCCUUCGGGUUGUAAACUGCUUUUGUACGGAACGAAAAGACUCCUUCUAAUAAAGGGGGUCCAUGACGGUACCGUAAGAAUAAGCACCGGCUAACUACGUGCCAGCAGCCGCGGUAAUACGUAGGGUGCAAGCGUUAAUCGGAAUUACUGGGCGUAAAUCGUGCGCAGGCGGUUAUAUAAGACAGAUGUGAAAUCCCCGGGCUCAACCUGGGAACUGAAGUUGUGACUGUAUAGCUAGAGUACGGUAGAGGGGGAUGGAAUUCCGCGUGUAGCAGUGAAAUGCGUAGAUAUGCGGAGGAACACCGAUGGCGAAGGCAAUCCCCUGGGCCUGCACUGACGCUCAUGCACGAAAGCGUGGGGAGCAAACAGGAUUAGAAACCCGGGUAGUCC